CCCAUUUUAGAUCAUUUUAAUUUAUAAAAUACUACUAAAGCAUAUCCAUGAUAUAUAUUUUGAAAUGCAAUCUAUUUAAAAAGUACAAUUCAUCAAUUUACUCAUCAAGGAAAAAAGUAUUGAAAUUAUUUAAAAAGUAUAUCUUGAUAUUUCCCAUUGUCAAUAUGUAUGAUUUGUUGUAACUUCCUUGCUUCAAUCUUUCAGAUCUUUAAGGAGGUAGACCUAGGUUAAGUGAAAUAACUCUUAAAAUCAUCAGUACGUUUAUGUCAACCAUCUUCAUCAUUAAUUGCAAGCUUCUAUGUUACAUAGAUUAUUUCCAAUCUGUUUCAGGUAAAUGCUUAAAAUACUUUAUGAAAUUUGACUUUAACAAAACUCAACACCGAAUUUUUGAGUUAUAUCCCUGAACAAAGCUAUAUCCUUUAAUGCAAAAUAAAAAUACAUUGAAAUUUAUAUGGCACAAAAAAAGAAAUGGAAUACCUUGAAAAUAACAACAACUUUUUGUACAGAAAGUAGGGUGUUCAAUCUUCAGCAUAAGAUAUUUAUUAAAAUUGAAAUAUAUAUAUUUAUAUUUAUGGCACAAUAGAAAGAAAUGUAAUUCAUCUUCUUCAAAAUAACAACAGGUGGUGAUUUCAGUCAGGUAUAUAUAGCAGUUUGAGAAAUUUUAGUAUUGAGAAGCUUAGUAUUUUCUUAAUAAUAGAACCUGAUUAAAACAUUCAGCUGAAUUUACAGAGUUAUCUCCCAGUAGUGUAAUGUACCAUCUUUACAUAUAAACAAAGAAAGACAAAUCUUAUCGAUAAGGGAGACAAUUUCUUGGAAGUGAACAUUGUUGGACUAGAAAUGUUAAAAAUAACCAUACAAAAAUGAAAGUUGGAGGUAGAAUAAAGAAAAAUAACAUAUUUCACAUAAAAAAUCUUAAAAGACAUUCAUACAAAUAUUCAGCAAAAAAAUCAGCAGAUCAUUUAUAAACAGCACUGACAUUCAAUAUAAGCAAAUGGGUAGUUAUUAAUUCUGAAAUAAUUUACCAGCAAACUACAUAUUUUGAUUAACAUGAACUGAAAUUGAUAUUAUUAAUUGACUAAUCAGAGAUUUUGACUACUGAUAUUAUUCAUAAUAUAUUUCUGUUAUAAGAUUUUACAUUUUACAUUAAAAAAAAUGGAGAUAAACAUGUACAUUAAAAAAAAAUAUUUUGAAACAAGAAUGUGUCCAAAGAACACGGAUGAACCACUCGCACUAUGCUUUACCAUGUUCAACGGACCGUGAAAUUGGGUAAUAAUCUAAUUUGGCAUUAAAAUUAGAAAGAUUAUACUAUAGGGAACAUAUGUACUAAGUUUCAAGUUGAUUGGACUUCAAUUUUAUCAAAAACUACCUUGACCAAAAACUUUAACCUGAAACUCCCACUUUCAUUUUCUAUGUUUAGUGGACCGUGAAAUUGGGGUCAAAAGUCUAAUUUGGCUUUAAAAUUAAAAAGAUCAUAUCAUAAGCAACAAGUUUACUAAGUUUCAAGUUGAUUGGACUUCAGCUUCAUCAAAAACUACCUUGACCAAAAACUUUAACCUGAAACUCCCACUUUCAUUUUCUUUGUUCAGUGGACCGUGAAAUUGGGGUCAAACGUCUAAUUUGGCUUUAAAAUUAAAAAGAUCAUAUCAUAAGCAACAAGUGUACUAAGUUUCAAGUUGAUUGGACUUCAGCUUCAUUGAAAACUACCUUGACCAAAAACUUUAACCUGGACGGACGGACGAACGAACGGAAGCACAGACGGACAAACGGAGCCACAGACCAGAAAACAUAAUGCCCCUCUACUAUUGUAGGUGGGGAAUAAAAAAAAGAAACUGGAUGUGACCAGAACUUUAUCCUGCUAUGGGACAUAUGAACAGAUAGAACAGAAUCAUUUAUCCCCUACCAUCAAAGAACAGACAUAAAUUCUUGUUUCAAAGUUUCAAAAUUUGGUUGGUUUGUUUAUUGUUUAACAAAAAAAACCAACUGUCUAUCUUUUUUUUUGGGGAGGGGAGGGGUUAAAAUAUCAGAGAUCCAAAGAAAAAAUACAAAAAAAAAAUUAAAAGAUUGUUUUGCACUCACUCUGUGUUCAAAACUACCCUUGAAAGCUACUUAUAAAUCACAGAUCAGAAUUCUUUUUUAUCAAAGAGAACCCAUUUGAUUUUUCACAAUUUCAAUGGUAUUUUAAAGUGCGUUAUAAGACAAAACUAAAUGAAACCAUGUGUACAUAAAAAGGGUAUAUUUAAAAAUACUUUACAAAUAGCACCUCAGAAACCAGUGCACUGAACUCAUUUACAGUAAAAUAAUAAAGACAAAAUGAAUUUAUGACAUCUUUUUACAUUUCCAUAUCAGAGCUUCAUCAUUACCACUGAACCUCAGUUAAUAUUUCAUAAACAUAUGAUAACAAAAUAUACUGGCUCCGGAAAGUAAACAGGGUUUAAAGAGAAAACUAAUUUUCUAUGAAGAAUUAAUAAGUGAAGAAAAAGAUGAAUAUACUUGUGCUUUCAACAUGGGUAAAUUCAAGAUUUCAGUUUACAUGAUCUAAAAAUCAAAUGAUCUUUAUUGAGAAUAGCAAUCCAUAAAAUUUUGAUAAUAAAUACUAUUUUUUACACCCUCAAAAGGCAAUAUUGGGAGCCUCUGCUUUUUUUCAAUGAUGAGGUUUGUCUUUCUGUCAUUUCUGUUUUAGUUCUAUGAUUUAUAGCACUUUAUUAUGACUGAUUGAUUAUUCCAAGGCAAUACAUUCUGGGAAUCAAGUAUCAUAAUUAAUUUGUUUACCAGUUUUAAAAAGAUGUCAUAAAUAAACUUAUACAAUCAAGCAUUUAUACAGAUCUGUACACAAACACAAAUGUAUAUAUACAUUCAAGAUAUAAAAAUAUAAAUUGAUGGCAAGGGCAGCUGAAAAAUUGUAAAUUUCAUUUCUUACAACUAUAUAAUGUCAAGAUAUUCCCUAUGCUUGAAAAAAUUAAUCAAUCAUAUAAUACUGGCAUUUAAACAAAAAAGUUUCUCUGAGUACCAUUUUCUGGUAAAUUUAAUACAUUGUACAAUGGAAUGUAAUUUGAGUGAAUGUUUGAAUAUGAUAUAUAUUAUUUUUUGUUGUAAUAAAAAUUCAACUUUUUGAUAUUUUGUUAAAUUUAUAUUUUAUUCUUCUCAAAAUAGUAUUCAAAACAUAAUUCAAUGUUUUGAAUAUUACAGAAUUUGUCUUGACCUUCUCAACAUGGUUACAUCUCCCUCCCCCCUAAAAAAUAAUAUAAUAAAAAAAAAUAAUAAAAAUUAUGAUAUUAAUUAUGUUAAUGUUAGAAAACAAUGGAUUUCAAUAUUUAAUGAAAAUAAAAAAUACUGAAUUAGCCUGACAAGCAAAUAUUAAAAAUAUAAUUUUGUUUUUUUAAGACUCAUUGCACUUUUGUAGAAAUCCUCACCAAUACUGAAAACUUU
RNAcentral lists this long non-coding RNA (3426 nucleotides) under Mytilus galloprovincialis (Mediterranean mussel). The record is from RNAcentral. Lineage: Eukaryota; Metazoa; Mollusca; Bivalvia; Mytilida; Mytilidae.